GGGGUUGUAGCUCAGUGGUAGAGCAUUUGCCUAGCAUGCAUGAGGCUCUGGGUUUGAUCCUCUGCAUCACAU
RNAcentral lists this transfer RNA (72 nucleotides) under Ictidomys tridecemlineatus (thirteen-lined ground squirrel). Its description in RNAcentral is "Spermophilus tridecemlineatus (thirteen-lined ground squirrel) tRNA". It matches the Rfam family "tRNA". Rfam says of the family: Transfer RNA (tRNA) molecules are approximately 80 nucleotides in length. Their secondary structure includes four short double-helical elements and three loops (D, anti-codon, and T loops). Further hydrogen bonds mediate the characteristic L-shaped molecular structure. tRNAs have two regions of fundamental functional importance: the anti-codon, which is responsible for specific mRNA codon recognition, and the 3' end, to which the tRNAs corresponding amino acid is attached (by aminoacyl-tRNA synthetases). tRNAs cope with the degeneracy of the genetic code in two manners: having more than one tRNA (with a specific anti-codon) for a particular amino acid; and 'wobble' base-pairing, i.e. permitting non-standard base-pairing at the 3rd anti-codon position. Lineage: Eukaryota; Metazoa; Chordata; Mammalia; Rodentia; Sciuridae. The record is from Rfam by way of RNAcentral.